This 235-nucleotide ribosomal RNA is filed under the name uncultured bacterium. RNAcentral describes it as "partial 16S ribosomal RNA". It matches the Rfam family "Bacterial small subunit ribosomal RNA", at positions 118 to 353 of the family's 1533-position model. The record is from RNAcentral.
UGAGCAAUCUGCCCUUCUCUUCGGAAUAAGCGUUGGAAACGACGUCUAAUGCCGAAUACGACCUCCUUUCGCAUGAUCGGAGGUGGAAAGCUCCGGCGGAGAAGGAUGAGCUCGCGGCCUAUCAGCUAGUUGGUGUGGGUAAUGGCCCACCAAGGCGACGACGGGUAGCCGGCCUGAGAGGGUGACCGGCCACACUGGGACUGAGGCACGGCCCAGACUCCUACGGGAGGNAGCG